RNAcentral lists this transfer RNA (77 nucleotides) under Pyrococcus yayanosii CH1. RNAcentral describes it as "tRNA-Phe". It matches the Rfam family "tRNA". Rfam says of the family: Transfer RNA (tRNA) molecules are approximately 80 nucleotides in length. Their secondary structure includes four short double-helical elements and three loops (D, anti-codon, and T loops). Further hydrogen bonds mediate the characteristic L-shaped molecular structure. tRNAs have two regions of fundamental functional importance: the anti-codon, which is responsible for specific mRNA codon recognition, and the 3' end, to which the tRNAs corresponding amino acid is attached (by aminoacyl-tRNA synthetases). tRNAs cope with the degeneracy of the genetic code in two manners: having more than one tRNA (with a specific anti-codon) for a particular amino acid; and 'wobble' base-pairing, i.e. permitting non-standard base-pairing at the 3rd anti-codon position. Lineage: Archaea; Methanobacteriati; Methanobacteriota; Thermococci; Thermococcales; Thermococcaceae. The record is from RNAcentral.
UGGGGCGGUAGCUCAGCCUGGGAGAGCACCGGACUGAAGAUCCGGGUGUCGGGGGUUCAAAUCCCCCCCGCCCCACC